This 497-nucleotide ribosomal RNA is filed under the name uncultured bacterium. Its description in RNAcentral is "partial 16S ribosomal RNA". It matches the Rfam family "Bacterial small subunit ribosomal RNA", at positions 28 to 507 of the family's 1533-position model. The record is from RNAcentral.
GAUGAACGCUGGCGGCGUGCCUAAUACAUGCAAGUCGAGCGAACAGACGAGGAGCUUGCUCCUCUGACGUUAGCGGCGGACGGGUGAGUAACACGUGGAUAACCUACCUAUAAGACUGGGAUAACUUCGGGAAACCGGAGCUAAUACCGGAUAAUAUAUUGAACCGCAUGGUUCAAUAGUGAAAGACGGUUUUGCUGUCACUUAUAGAUGGAUCCGCGCCGCAUUAGCUAGUUGGUAAGGUAACGGCUUACCAAGGCAACGAUGCGUAGCCGACCUGAGAGGGUGAUCGGCCACACUGGAACUGAGGCACGGUCCAGACUCCUACGGGAGGCAGCAGUAGGGAAUCUUCCGCAAUGGGCGAAAGCCUGACGGAGCAACGCCGCGUGAGUGAUGAAGGCCUUCGGAUCGUAAAACUCUGUUAUUAGGGAAGAACAAAUGUGUAAGUAACUAUGCACGUCUUGGCGGUACCUAAUCAGAAAGCCACGGCUAACUACGUG